Non-coding RNA from Pelobates cultripes (western spadefoot toad), 232 nucleotides. The record is from the annotation of a GenBank genome assembly. Lineage: Eukaryota; Metazoa; Chordata; Amphibia; Anura; Pelobatidae.
GUUAAAAUACAUUCAUAACACUCACACAUUCCAUCUAUCUAAUAUCUGCUACAUUGUCUAUAAUAAUAUCUGCUACAUUGUGUAUGUGCUGUGAGAUGUUAUGUGCAGCAUGUGUGUCUUACCAAACCUAAUCUAAUGUGAUGUCAUUAUCUUCUAUUUUUAAAGGAAUUGGUUCCUCCACUCAAUUGAUAUGUAAAUGUGAUUUACUUUCCCAAGUCCCAAAGUGUUGUCU